Marmota flaviventris (yellow-bellied marmot) is the source of this 884-nucleotide long non-coding RNA. RefSeq lists it as uncharacterized. Lineage: Eukaryota; Metazoa; Chordata; Mammalia; Rodentia; Sciuridae. The record is from RefSeq and is a predicted model, not a curated record.
CAUGAGAAUUUCAAGUUUAUACAAAAGUCUCCUGGGUUUAAAAAGGUUGGAAAGCACUGUAGUAGUGAGAUGGAUUGGUUUUUGAAGAAAAGUGAGAAAAGAAAACCAUUAAGUCCAACUGUCACUCUUCCAACUAAAUAUUGAAACCACUUGGGAAAAAAUUGAGUGAAGUUUAUAGUCAUAAGCAACUUUGGUGUUUUUGAGGUUUGCCUGUGAACCUCCAUUUAGCUCUACCAGAGGCUUCUAGAGAUGCAAUGAAUUGCCAUGUUUUAAGACUUUCAAAUAUGUUAAGUUGCCUGUUCAACUGGACUAACUCAUUAAAAGGUUUCAGUUCAGUUGAUUUGGAGGAUUGUAUGCUGCAUUGUGCUUUGUGGAUACAGAACUCAAGAGACUGGGAUCUCUGGUCUUUCACAGUUAUGGCACACACUGAAAUCUUCAGUAAAGGAAGGAAGAUAGGAGGAGAGCACCAUCAAUUCUUCCUGUUUUAGAGUCCUCAGUCCUAUAUGUCCUAUACCAGGCUGAUAGGAGGACCUGAUAGAAAAAGAGGUCACCGGGAGCAGAGCAAAGGCCAUCUGACAGCCAAAUCCCAUGCUCCAGACAUGUGAAUGAUGCCUUCCUGGACCUUCAAACCCAAGCAGCUUCCUGCAGUCCAUGAGUGGCUCCAACAGAUUCCACAUGUGCAGAAGAACAGCCAAGACAACUCAAAGACUCAUGAGAAAUCAUGAAUUGUUGCAGUUUUAGAAGCCACUAAGCCUUGGGUGAUUUAGUAGGCUUCAACAGAUAAUUAACACAUUGUCAAAGAUUUCAAAAUCACAUGGCUUGGGUUGUGGCUCAGCGGUAGAGCGCUUGCCUCACACGUGUGAGACACUGGGUUCGAUCCUCAG